GCUGGUAUGGCGGAACUGGCAGACGCAUUUGCCUUAAGAGCAAAUGGUGGGUUUCCAUCGUGCAGGUUCGACUCCUGUUACCAGUA
Molecule: transfer RNA, 86 nt
Filed under: compost metagenome
Description: tRNA-Leu
Rfam family: tRNA
About the family: Transfer RNA (tRNA) molecules are approximately 80 nucleotides in length. Their secondary structure includes four short double-helical elements and three loops (D, anti-codon, and T loops). Further hydrogen bonds mediate the characteristic L-shaped molecular structure. tRNAs have two regions of fundamental functional importance: the anti-codon, which is responsible for specific mRNA codon recognition, and the 3' end, to which the tRNAs corresponding amino acid is attached (by aminoacyl-tRNA synthetases). tRNAs cope with the degeneracy of the genetic code in two manners: having more than one tRNA (with a specific anti-codon) for a particular amino acid; and 'wobble' base-pairing, i.e. permitting non-standard base-pairing at the 3rd anti-codon position.
Source: RNAcentral